This 459-nucleotide ribosomal RNA is filed under the name uncultured bacterium. RNAcentral's name for it is "partial 16S ribosomal RNA". It matches the Rfam family "Bacterial small subunit ribosomal RNA", at positions 338 to 795 of the family's 1533-position model. The record is from RNAcentral.
CCUACGGGUGGCAGCAGUGAGGAAUAUUGGUCAAUGGGCGGGAGCCUGAACCAGCCAAGCCGCGUGAAGGAAGAAGGCGCCAGGCGUCGUAAACUUCUUUUGUCGGGGAACAAAGGGCGCCACGUGUGGCGUUGUGAGUGUACCCGAAGAAAAAGCAUCGGCUAACGCCGUGCCAGCAGCCGCGGUAAUACGGAGGAUGCGAGCGUUAUCGGGAUUUAUUGGGUUAAAAGGGUGCGUAGGCGGUCCGGAAAGUCAGCGGUAAAAGCCCGGGGCUCAACCCCGGCGAGCCGUUUAAACUGGUUUACUUGAGUGAGUGAGAAGUAUGCGGAAUGCGUGGUGUAGCGGUGAAAUGCAUAGAUAUCGCGCAGAACUCCGAUUGCGAAGGCAGCAUACCGGCGCUCAACUGACGCUCAUGCACGAAAGUGUGGGUAUCGAACAGGAUUAGAUACCCGAGUAGUC